Non-coding RNA from Oryctolagus cuniculus (rabbit), 10650 nucleotides. The record is from RefSeq and is a predicted model, not a curated record. NCBI's taxonomy places the organism in Eukaryota, Metazoa, Chordata, Mammalia, Lagomorpha, Leporidae.
GUAUAUGCGCGCGCGUGAACAGGGACGACCUGCGCAUGUGGCUCCGAGUCCCCGAUCAGCACCUGCCUCAGCACCGCUCCAGCUCUCACACUCACAAGGCUCCUGUCCCCUUCCUGCAAUCCCAGGGGGUUCGCGAGCCCGCAGCCCGGCGCAUCCCCCGCCGCCUCCACUUCCGCUUACGCCGUGCCGCGGGCUUUUCCCGCCGCGUACCUUCAGCCCCAGGCUCUCUGCGUUGCCUUGAGGUGCGCGGCCGGGUCCCUCGGGAGUUUCCACGGCAAUAGAGAUGGCGUCUCAUGAUCCCUUUGCAAAAUGAGAAGUGCAGUGAAUGUAAGCCUACUCUGCUUGGGGCCGUACCUGGAGCUAUUUUCAUCUGGAGUUGUCUCAAAUGAGAAGCUACAAACACAGCCAGGCAGAAAGGAAUGAAGAAAUGUUUGCACAGUGAAUGGGCCGGCUGGAUGGGAGCUGUCCCUGAUGGCUGUGGAAUCCUCUAGUCAGCUUGGCAUGGCUCUGGCAGAUCAAGCUCCACACCACUCUGAGAUGUGCUCCUACACCCAGCAGGAACUUCUAAUCACCGGGCUGGCGCUGUGGCUUAGUGGGCUAAGCCUCCACCUGUGGCACCAACAUCCCAUAUGGGCACCGGUUGUAUUUCUGGAUGCUCCUCUUUUGAUCCAACUUUGUGCUAUGACCUGGGAAAACAGUUGAAGAUGACGUGUAAUUUUAGAGACCUCUACAUGUUUCUAAGAUCAAAGAAAAAUGAAUACAUCUCCAAUUUAACUUACCCUACACAUCUUCCGAAUUUCUCAGAUAGCAUGACAUGAAAAAUGGCCAUGGGUUGAAGUCCUUCAGAUUAUUUAUUUGACAGGUAGAGUUACAGAUAGUGAGAGAUAAGAGAGAAAGGUCCUCCCUCUGCUGGUUCCCUCCCCAAAUGGCUGCAAGGGCUGGAGCUACGCCAAUCUGAAGCCAGGAGCCAGGAGCUUUCUCCCGGGCCACAGCAGAGAGCUGGACUAGAAGAGGAGCAACCAGGAGUAGAACCUGGCAUCCACAUGGGAUGCCAGCGCCACAGAGGCACAUAAGAUGCACACAGAAGAAUACACUCCCUAUCUCUGCUUUUGGGUACAGCUGAUAUGUUUAGGAGAAAUAUGACGUUUCAAGUGUUGGUGUCAUUCAAAGACCUAGCUGUGGACUUCACCUGGGAGGAAUGGCAGGACCUGAUUGUUGCUCAGAGAAUCCUGUACAGGCAUGUGAUGCUAGAGACCUAUAACUGCCUGGUGUCCUUGGGAUACUGCAUUACCAAAUCUGAGUUAAUCUUCAGGUUAGAAGAUGGUGCAGAGCCAUGUGUGGUGGAAAAACCGCUAAACUGGCGCCUAUCAGUUGCCCAGAAAAUGGAUGGCUUAAUUGGGACCAAUCAGGAAAAUGAAGACAGACAUAAGUUUGAAUCAAGAUACAAUCAUAAACAAUAACACAUCAGUUCACAAGGGAGUUGAAUUUAAAGAAGCAGUUCAUUUAAGCUCAAGCCAUAUUCCAAAACUUAUUAUAAAAAGGGGAAGUUGUUCAGGAAUGAAACACAAGGCAUGCAAUAUAUUCCAAAAUGUGUAUCUCCCUAGUGGGUCUGAUGUGAUGGAAACUGGAGAGAAAUCUGAUGUCCCUAAUGUACCUGGGAAUUCUGCCCCAUGCUGCGAGCUUCUUUGUCAGCAUAACAAGAUUCAGACUAUGCAGUGGCCACUUGAACGGAAUGGACAAGGUUAAGCCUUCAGAAGGAAGAGAUACUCUUUUCAUUUGAGAAGGUUCAUUUAGAAGAACCCUGUAUUAAAUCAACUGUCUUUGUUGGAAACACAACUCAGAUAGAAAAGAAAACUUUACAUAAAAAUGAUAACCUCAGUAAGCAUCAGUGAAGCCACACAAGACAGAAACUCUGUGAAUCUGUUGAAAAUGAGAUUAGAACAUGUAAAUCAGAUCUUACAAUAAAUCAGAGAACAUAUACAGGAAAAAAAGCCCAUGUGUGUAAACCCUGUGGAAAAUCUUUCAGUUGUAAAUCCUGCCUUAACAUCCUUCCCAGAACUCACACAGGGCAAAAGCCCUUUUGGUGCAAUGAAUGUGGAAAAACCAUUUACCUAAUUUCAGACAUCACUAGAAAUCAGAGAAUUCACAUAGGUGAGAAAUCUUAUGAAUGUGAUAAAUGUGAAAAAGCCUUCUGUCGGAAGUCACAUCUCAUAACACAUCAGAGAAUUCACACAGGGGAGAAACCGUAUGAAUGUAAUGAAUGUGGUAAAGCCUUUUGUCAUAAAUCAAUCCCCAUUACACAUCAGAGAAUUCAUACAGGAGAACAGCCUUAUGAAUGCAAUGAAUGUGGAAAAGCCUUUUGCCAGAAGUCACACCUCAACACAUCAGAAUUCACACAGGGGAGGAACCCUAUGAAUGUAAUGAGUGUGGAAAAGCAUUUGGCCAGAUGUCACACCUCAUAACACAUCAGAGAAUUCACACAGGGGAGAAAAUUUAUGAAUGUCAUGACUGUGGAAAAGCCUUCCGACUGAAGUCAGACCUCAUCAAACAUCAGAGAAUACACACAAGGGAGAAACCUUAUGACUAUAAUGAAUGUGGAAAAGCCUUUGGCCAAAAGUCACACCUCAAAGCUCAUCAGAGAAUUCACACAGGGGAGAAACCUUACGACUGCAGUGAAUGUGGAAAGGCCUUUUGGAGAAAGUCAGACCUCAAAACACAUCAGAGAAUUCACACAGGGGAGAAACCUUAUCAAUGUAAUGAGUGUGGAAAAGCCUUUGGCCAUAUAUCAAUCCUCAUUAAACAUCAAAGAACUCAUACAGCAGAGAAGCCUUAUGAAUGUAAUGAGUGUGGGAAAACCUUUUGGCGAAUGUCAUACCUUAAUAAACAUCAGAGAAUUCACACAUGGAGAGGAAAUAUUGUAAAUGUGAUCAAAGUGGAAAAGUUUUGCCAGAAGUAGUAACUCCUAACACCACAGAAUUUACACAGGGGAGAAACAUUAAUCAGUGUGGAAAAGCUUUUGUUGGCAGUUACACAUUAUGCACUAGAUAAUUCACACAGGAGAGGAAGCUUAAUGUAAUGAUUAUGAAAAAGUCUCAGAAGUCAGUCCUCAUUGCAUAUCUGAGGAUUUUGUACAGGGAACAGCACUUAUGAAUAUAGAAAAACAUUUUCCUGAAGUUAACACUCUCAAUAGGCAAAGAAUUCACAAAGGAGGAGGGGGCAUUUUGUAUGCACUGGGUCAGAAAAAAUAAAAACCAUUUUUACCAGAAGUUAUUCUUCAGGAGGUAUUAGAAACUCAUACAAAGAAAAAAUAACAGCCUGUAUAAUGAGUAUAAAAAUAUUUUUACCAUAAUUCAUUCUUCACACAUCAAAGGACUUAGUGAUAAGAACAUGCAUUGUCAGAAAUCUUUACCAUAAAUCAUUUUAACAAUGUAUCAGAAAACCCACAUAGAGGGAAAAUCCUGUGAAUGUAGUGGAACUAUAAAAACCUUUCUUAUAAGGCAAACUUCAACAAAAAGCAGAAUUAUGGAAAGCACUGUGAAAAUGUAGAGAAACACUACUGGAAACAUCAGCAGGCAUUGAAUUCACAUGAUGGAAUAAUGCUGUAUGACAGAAGGACUAUGUAUUCAGAAUCUUUUUCUCUUUGAUGUACCUUUAUAGUGAUUUGGGCUAUGUAAAUGAGUUAUAUAGUUACAUAAACGUUAACAAUUUAGUCAGGAACAUUUGAAAUACUAUCUUCCUUGAUUAUAAAAUUAUUUGCUGUAGUGGUUUUGUUUAUUCCCAUGAUUCCUUUUGCCUCAUUAUUGUAGCACAAAAUAGUGGUGUGAUUACAGCCAAGCUUUUGUUGCAAACCGUGAAACUGUUCUCUCAGUCCUGGAUGAUGAGUAUUUUGUAGGGGAUUAGUUUCUGGUGACAUCUAUACUAAUGAGAACCCUAGAUUUAUCUCUGUCAAAAUCUGGAUUUUCCUAGAUUACCCAAAAUCUUUUUAUCAGGUGAGGAGGGGAUCUGUGCAGAGUGUUCUGGUGGCAGUCUUCCCAGGAUUGAUUUCAUGCUAUUUUUACAUAUUCCUGGGAUUUUCCAUCCAGUCUUCUGUGGUGCAUUGAUGUUUGUAAUUGAGUUCCCACAUGCUUAGAUUCACCUGGCAUUGUUGUUACCUCUUAUUUUAUUGAAUUAUUUGGGGGUGAAAUAUACAAGGAACUAGUUAGCAGUAGAAACAGGAUUGCUAGCAGCCUCGUGUUCACACCUUCCACAACCUAAAUACCUGUUAUGUUUAGCUAUUGGGAUUGCACUGGCUAGAAAUAUCCAAGAGGAUAUUGGCCAACCCACUCACCAUCAGGCACCAGAGGCUCAUUUACCAUCAUGUAUCAGAUGCCAUGACAUUUUCUAAAUUUUAAUGUGUGUCCCCAGCCACUUGUGCACCUGAGGCUAUCACCGAGAAUUCCUUAAAAGGAACAGCAGAGUGGGUAUUACUCAUGUCCUGCCCCCAAACUCUGCCCUAAUUGAAUAUUCAACUAUGUGUUGGCUCAUAUGCAACACACAUCCAAUAAAAAGGACAAUAAUUUUAGAAAUUGCAGUUCUCAUAAGAGGUUUCCCAUAACCCUGCCUGUGUGUGUACCAUCCCUCUAAAUCUUACUUUCACCAUUUCCCUUUUCUACCUCUCUUUAAUUCUUUAUUACUUGGAGACAGUUAAUUCAGUUUAGCCACAGGAUUUCUCCUGUAACAGGAACCAGUUCAUAAAUAUACUGUCUUGUAUUAUUUUGACAUUGCAAUGAUACGGUGUUUUUUUAAGCCCCCCCCACCACCACCACCAAGGUGACACUCAGUUUUACUAAACUUUGUGUUCACUUCUCUUCCCUAUUUUCCAAGUCUUUUCUGGGUUCUGAUUACAUGUGCUUUCAGCUCAGGUUUCAGCACAUACCCACUCAGCAUGGAAACUUUGCCAAGAUGGCAUAGCCAUUCCUUGGUUACUUGACUGCAAAUGUGAUGUAGGAUUAUCUAGCUGUAUUUUCUCCUUUUCUAUGUCUCAUCAAGAUGAUUAUCCAGAAAGUCAUUUCUUCUACCUUCAUUUAUACACAUUGCAAACAGCUCAUUACCUCAAGCAGGACCCCUGGGGAUCUUUGAAGCACUAAUAAGAUGCAAACCUCAAAUCCUAUUGUAAUGAAAUUUAGAAGCAAGAAAAUGCACUGAGAAUGGUAGAGUUGAAGCCUGGCAUUUAAAUUUCUGCCCCAUCAAACUUACCCAUCAGCAUCCAUCACAAGCCAGGAAAAUAAAAUCACAUCACAGCUUGAAAGAACAGGAAAAGCAAAGAACACUUUAUAGAAAAACAUGAAACAUUCACUGAGUGGACUUGAAACACUGGACUGCAAGUCACAUGAUGCUUUGCAAUUAAGGCAGUCAUCCAUUCAGAAUACUAAGCAUAUGUUAAAGUAAAUUAUUCCCACUGGUAUCAGUACUUAGUUCAAACUAGCCUUUUUCACUCAAUUUGCCCUACGGAAUUGAACAUAAGUAGUCUUCCAUGAAAAGGACACCAUGCAUUUCUAUUUCUGGGGUCUGACACUUCAGCAAGAAGCAAGGCGAGCCCCUUUCAGUUUUUUCAGAUGUCCUGUAUUUUCAGUAUUGAUGAACAGACUAGGUCAUGUUGACUGCCUGUUGAUUGUCACUGUGUGCUCCAGAGGAAAUGAUAGUUUUUCAUUUUUUGGUUUAUGUUGCAUAAGUAUGUAUAUUUUAUUUAUAAAUAGUUGUCUAUAACCAUAUAUACAGCUGGUAUAGUUUAUAUAUAUAUAGCUUCUAUACAUAUUUGUUAUCCAAAUAUCUCAUUCACAUUUUUUAUGUAGAACGAGGAAUUUUGAAGAUCCUUGCUAAAGGGAUCAAAUAAUUUUCAGUUUUGUACUUAAUAUGUACCUAUUCUUCUCCUCAUUCUUCUACUCUUUCCUCCAGUCCUCAUCCUGUUCAUUUCAUCCUCCAGCUCCCUUCUGGUAUCAAAAGGUCUGGAAGGUUUUUUGGCACACUGAACAUUUUUGAGAGUUGCCCUUUUUGAUGUGUUUUAUACUGUGUUCCCUAUCUCCAACAGUUUAUCACUAAUUACUGUAUAUUCUAAAGUUGGUGAAUCUAACGGUGGAGGGUAUAGUGUCUAAGAUUAUUGUUAAUAUUGCUUGCUUUUUCAAGUGUCAUAAGUAAUUGUUUUCUCUUGGGUUUGCUGAGACUCAUGAGCUCCAGUUUGCAUGGUAUUCAUGUGGCAGGAAUCUGGGCCCUAUUCAUAGAAGCUUUUCCUGCUCCUGGGAAUUCACUAUCUCCUGGUCUCCAUCAUUUCAGGGUGCACUUAAAUGAUAUACUGCAUGCAUAGCCAUGAGGAAUCCCACUACUACUAAUACUUCAUAGAUGGGAUGACGUGUGCAUAUCAAAUUAGGGCAAUUUAUAAAAAUGUGAAGAGAAUAUUGUUAAACUGAGCUAGUAUCCAUUAAAUUAUUUCUGCAGUGAUCUUUGGACAAAUGCCUAAAAUAUGUAAUCAAUGGCAUCACCUUGGUAGCACCAAGUAUACUUCUCUAAUCCACUGGCUUUAAUGAUAAUGCAAUGAUCUAUGUCCUAAUACCUACCCAUCAAAGAUCUAUGCAGUGUCAUCCUACUUCCUGUUGAAUUACAGUAGAAACCAAUUAGAAAAUGAGUACUUUCAACAACAGGUGUGCAGAAAACUAUUAUGCCAUCCUACAAGAUACAAUAUUCUGUAGGCAUGAAAUUUUCAUAUAUAUGUAUGUAUACAUAUAUUUGAAACAUUUAUAUUUAGCUACAAAAAGAAAACCUGUUAAGGAGGGGUAGAGACAUAAUAAUACCUCUUCUGCAAUAUCUAUUCUUGUCUUGAAAAGACAGAAUCAGUGACUCAACCUGAAUUUUGUAUUUUCAAAUCAUUAGAGUUCACAUGGGUCACACUCACCAUUAAAAUAUAUUUAAUAUUAUAUUUUUGCAGAGGUGUUACCCUAUGAUUACUAGGUACUAGCAAAAACUUUAUAUUUUCUUCAGGACUGUAGGAGAAAUAAAGUGUUCUCAUGGCCCCAAAUCCGGUACAUAACAGAAAAGUUUGUGAGCACAUGUAGAAGAGCUCAUGUUAACCCAAGUUUGCUCAUUUUGGUGCACUGUUUCUGAAAGUCUGCUGAGCACAGUAGUCCACUGAGCUGAUAAACAUGGACUAGGAAGGACAGGAAGAACAACGAGACUUUCCUCUGAUGAGACCACCUUUCCCUGACCCAUUAAGGGUGCCAGACAAGAAAGAAAUGUCUUCAUCAUUCCCAAAUCAAUUUUCAGCAGUUUUUAGGAGGGACAUAAGAUGGACAGGGAGGGACACAGAAUGCGUUUGUCCACCCAUCUGCAGACCAUAUAACAAGAGGCUAAUAUGUGACUUAUGGGAAAAUGAUUACAGCAAAGAGAACUUACCCUUAGAAUGUGAGAUUCUUAUUGAAAAUAUUAAUGAUUCUAUCAAUGAGGUAUGUGUAAAUGGGGAAAAAUGCAACAAUCACAGUAUCAGUAUCCUUGUAAAAAAUGCAUUCCAUUUUGAGAAAGCAGUUGGGAUCAUUAUGACACAUCACAAGGCAAUACGGCUGCAGAAAGCAACAAAAAAAUCAAAGCAAACAUCUUGCAAAUUUGUGAAAAAUCCUAGGACACAAUGGCAGUGGAUUUGUUCUGAGAGGAGGAGCAUGGUUGGGGCAAGAGGCGUGGAGUCAUGACAGACACAGAGUAGAGUGAAACUGGGCUAGAAGUGAGCAGCCUGCAGAGUCAUUUAUUUCAGUUGGUACAGCAGCUUAUAGCCAAGGCAGCCAAUCCAGUCAAGGGGCGGUUUAUGCCUUAAAUCACUGCCUAUGGCCAGGCAGGCUCCUUUGCCAGGUGGGUUCUGAAGCCAUUUCCUGAGUAACUGAUGCUUGCCUGCCAGCGGCCAUCUUGGCACGGCCUUCCCAUUCCACCACACAACCCCACUUGUACAGGGAGCAUCCAUUGGGUGGAUAUACACUCACUUGUUUGCUGCUUGCUUUGUUAUGUUACUACUCAUAAGGUUGGACUGGAGUUUGAAUUUCCUUGCUUCUUUUUAAGUCACACAUUGAGUUUCUGUCUGGAUCCCUUGUGUUACUGGUUCUACAGACCGGAGCUAUGGAGAUUAUUUUGCUGAUGUAAAAGUUGUGAGCUGGAUGGUGAAUAAUGCAGUUGUUUUUCUGUGACCCAAGAUCCCAAAUAUCCUUCCAGAAUCCUGUUGAUCCAGUCUUGAAAUCCGCAAAUGCAGUAUGGUCUAUACCCUGUAUAUCUGCACCCAGAAAACCAAUCAGAUCUUAGAAAAUUGUGACCAAGAGGAAGUUGGUGAUAAUGUCUUGGCUGGCCCUUACAUGGGCUCAGUAAAUAGAGUACGUGCCCUCUAGGUACAAUAUGGCAGUAGCGGCAGCAUUCAAUGGUCCACAGAAGGGGUAGAAGUGAUUGAGUGCAAUGGAACACAUGAAGGAACCAAGAGUUGUGGCUUAGUACAGAAAAGAGCAUAUUAAUGGGCAGAGUGUCAUUUCCCAUAUGCCACUGUACCUGCUCCAUGUGUCCUAACAGCAACUGUAAAGCACCAGAGCAUCUUUUCCCUUUGCACUCAUUGUUUCUUCAUGCUCUUUGUUUUGCCAUUACUUUUCCUAGCUUUUUCUACAUUCUUAACCUGGGAGCAUAGUUUGCUGAUUUUACAUAUCCUUUUAAAAAUAAUCAUACUUAUAGCUCUUAAUUUCUGUCUAACCCAUUUUAAAUAAGUGAGUUCUUAUAUAUUUUAUUUUCAAUUUUUUAAUACUUUUUGAAAGCUUUUAUUUAUAAAUACAAAUUUCAUAGGUAUAGCUUUAGGAAUAUAGCAGUUCUUCCCUCCAUACCCACCUUCCCACCCUUAUUCCCAUCCCACUCUUCAUUAAGAUUCAUUUUAAUUAUCUUUAUAUACAGAAGACCAAAUCUAUACUAAGUAAAGAUUUCAACAGUUUACACCCUCCUACACAAAGUAUAAAGUACUGUUUGAAGACAAGUUUUCCCACUAAUUCUCAUAGUAUAACUCAACAAGAACAGAGGUCCUACCUACAUGGGGAGCAAGUGCACAGUGACUUCUGUUGUUGAUUUAAAAAAUGACACUCUUAUUUAUGAUGUCAUUGCUGUUUGCAUAGUGUGUAGUAAAGGCCAUUUUGUUUGAUUUACAUUACCCUUUUUGCUUUCAUCAUUACUACAUACAGUAAACAAUAUUUCUUUCUCCAACUAUCUACCCUGUUAUUUUUGCUAUAUAUACAAACUUGCCAUAUAUUAAAGGGUUUAUUUUCUGACUAAUUUAUUCUGUUUUACUGCUGAGUUUUCUAUUUCAACUUCAAUAUCUGUAAGAAUCCCAUGUGUAUUAUGAAUGUAUGGUAACUCUUGACUGGUGAUGCAUAACAUAUAUGUUUAUUAUGCUUUGUUUCAGAAGUGUCAUUGUCACGUUGGGUCAUUUGCUCUUACAUAAAGCUAUUUUAGUUUUCGGCUUAUCAAUUGAAUUGCUAAUAAUUCCUAUUUGAAUUUUUACUGGAAUUCUAUGCUCUGCUUGGAUUUUGCUAUUGAUUAGUUUGUAGAAAAUCAAUGCACUUAAGUUAUUGAGACUUUUCCAAGGCGUGUGGCAUUCUUUUCCAAUGUUGAAGAUUAUUUUCCCUCUCACUACAUGUUGAACUCUUAGUAGAGUUAAUCUUUUGAGUAUAAAGUAAACUGAAAGUAGUUCAUUGUAAAAAGUAAAAGAGGGAAUAAGAAAGGAGGGAGCAGUAAGAAUGGGAGCAUUGCCAGGAGAUUGUGUAGGGUGGGAAGUAUCACUGUGUUCCUAAAUCUGUAUAUAUGAAAUAUAUUAAAUUUUUUCACCUUAAAUGAAAAUUUAAAACCAUUUUUAUAUUUUAGUUUAAUUUUACAUCUCUGUUGUGAAAUAAUUGACAUAUAAUCAACUAUAUGUUAAUUUUGAAAGCUGAUAAUUUCUAAAAACUUCAUGAAAAUGGAACUAAAAGAUGAGCUUAUUUGGUUCCAAAAUUUGAAAUCCAUGUUUUUUGUAGUAGAUGUUUUAUGGGCAUUUUGAAAACCCCUCAUCUAUACAGAAUUACAUCAUUACCACAAUCAAAAUAAUGUAUACACCCACUAUCUACAAAAAUUUUAUUAUGGCACUUUCUAUUCCUCUCUCAAUCCAUCUUUGUUUUUGAAAUUCAAUCUUGUUUACUUUUUUUUGACAGGCAGAGUUAGACAGUGAGAGAGAGAGAGACAGAGAGAAAGGUCUUCCUUUCAUUGAUUCACCCCUCAAAUGGCCACCACGGGCUGGCACACUGCACCAAUGUGAAGCCAGGAGCCAGGUUCCUCCCGCUGGUCUCCCAUGAAGGUGCAGGGCCCAAGCAUCUGGGCCAUCCUCCACUGCUUUCCUGGGCCACAGCAGAGAGCUGGAAUGGAAGAGGAGCAACUGGGACGGAAUCCAGUGUCCCAACUGGGACUAGAAUCUGGGGUGCCUGCGCCGCAGGUAGAGGAUCAGCCAAGUGAGCUGUGGUGCUGGCCUCUUUACUUUUUUUUUUUUUAAAAAAACACUUAUUCCUUAGUUAUUUGAAAGGCAGAAUUACAGAGAGGCUGAGAGAGAGAGAGAGAGAGAGAGAGAGAGAGAGAGAGAGAGAGAGU